Molecule: long non-coding RNA, 580 nt
Filed under: Taeniopygia guttata (zebra finch)
Lineage: Eukaryota; Metazoa; Chordata; Aves; Passeriformes; Estrildidae
Description: lncRNA (ENSTGUG00000029339.1)
Source: RNAcentral
AAUUUUCUUCUUUCACAGUUUCAAAAUUCAUAUGAGUCCAGUGAUAUUCUCCAUUAUUUAUUUUUACAGUAAAUCAGGUAUGUCAGUGAUCAUACAAUGCACACCAACUGGAGAAAAAAGAUCCAGAGUAUGUAAUGGCUUCUCAUUCUUCAUUUUGAUGUUUCUCCAAUGACUGUCAGAAACUCUAUAGACAUUAAAUUGGACUUUGGAACAGAUUUUAAGAACAAGGCAGAUGUAAAGGCUAUAUCAUGCUCUCAAAUUCUUCAUUACAGAAAGGCAUAUAUCUCCAAGUUAUUAUGCUUUUCUAAACUUUGGAAGCAUCUGCAGCUGCACACAGUAAAACCAAAACCAGCUGGACUCUCUUAUCCAGCACAAGGACAAAUUUAAAGAAGUUUCACAUUUAUGACUUUCAUGAAAAAUCCUCCAGUCAAAUCCAAAAGAAACACGAACAUUUACCCUGCUAAAAAAGGUUUAACGCUUUCAUUCUGGCUUUGUGAGAUGAUGGCACAGGAGAGGCUGUGAUAAGGUGGUGGGCCUGGUUAAAACCCACCAAAUUUCUGCGGCUGCCCAUAACGACAAA